GGAUGAACGCUAGCGGGAGGCCUAACACAUGCAAGCCGAGCGGGAUUUAUUGGUUAGCUUGCUAACCAAUGAUGAGAGCGGCGUACGGGUGCGGAACACGUGUGYAACCUGCCUUUAUCAGGGGGAUAGCCUUUCGAAAGGAAGAUUAAUACCCCAUAAUAUAUUGAUUGGCAUCARUUGAUAUUGAAAGCUACGGCGGAUAAAGAUGGGCACGCGCAAGAUUAGAUAGUUGGUGAGGUAACGGCUCACCAAGUCGACGAUCUUUAGGGGGCCUGAGAGGGUGAUCCCCCACACUGGUACUGAGACACGGACCAGACUCCUACGGGAGGCAGCAGUGAGGAAUAUUGGACAAUGGGUGSAAGCCUGAUCCAGCCAUCCCGCGUGAAGGACUAAGGACCUAUGGUUUGUAAACUUCUUUUAUACAGGGAUAAACCUACCCUCGUGAGGGUAGCUGAAGGUACUGUAUGAAUAAGCACCGGCUAACUCCGU
RNAcentral lists this ribosomal RNA (489 nucleotides) under Flavobacteriales bacterium 'ARUP UnID 147'. RNAcentral's name for it is "bacterial SSU rRNA". It matches the Rfam family "Bacterial small subunit ribosomal RNA", at positions 27 to 506 of the family's 1533-position model. The record is from RNAcentral. Lineage: Bacteria; Pseudomonadati; Bacteroidota; Flavobacteriia; Flavobacteriales.